UAAUUUCCAAUUACCCUCGUCAUUAAUGAACGGCCUUGGGAGGCUGUAAUUCGGGCUCAAUAGCUGUUAUUUUCUGCUUCGGCAAUUUACCUUAUCAUUACGCAACUGAGCUGGAUUUUUGCAGGAGGCAUUUAAUGCGAAGGAAACCGAGAUUAAAACAAAAUCGAACUUUUCCUUUCAAGCCCAUCAGUGUUUUAAUUAUAUCCUGCUCCUCCGAAAUGAUCCCAAAAACCACUUUUAUGUUGAAAAGGGACCAACGGAGUGUUCCUUACACAUUCCACGGCUUAAUUGUAAGUAAAAUUAGAGACAAGACAUAAAGUUUUUAGUGUUGUACCGACGAAAAAAUACAAUUAAUGUAAGGUUGGCUGCUUAUGACUACGCUUAUGCCAUCAUACGAACACAGCAAAACGAACCGACAAAGGUGUAACGGGACUUUUUCUCAUUAUUAUUAAAUUUAUCGAAUGUUUCUGAAAAGAAACAAACGGAGACAAAUAAACUGUACAAGUUUAAUUUAAUUUUGGGCCUCUUGUCGGGUCGCUGCUUUGCAUAAAUUAAUAUUUACGGUUCCACAGGGGCAAUGCAGCUACCUGUGGAACUGAAAAUAUUCGGCCGACUGACAAAAACACAAUUUUGACUCGGAUACGACGACAAAUGUAACCGACAAUGGCAAUAAUCGGUUCAUACGGAAGAGCCAAGGAAAAAUGUAACUCUUGGAGGAAACAAAAAUGUAAACAUGUAAAAUAUCCUGCAGUUUUCUGAACAUAUGUCCAUCGAACUAAUGGUACACAUUAUCACGUCAUUAAAAGAAGAAUUUCAAAUUACGCAAGUAGGAGUUUCAACGAGAUAAAAUUCUGAGUAAGGCUUUGAAAGAAGAUGCAUUUGUAUUCUUCACAAAUAGUGAUUGAAUCCCACUUAUGGUAAAACAACUUUUGCAAGUCUUAUUUGAAAAGUGCAAGCUGAAAAUGACGUAAUUGAUACAGUGAUAACUACAGGUCUGUGAUUUGAAAAUACUGGAACCCAAUUUUUG
Tribolium castaneum (red flour beetle) is the source of this 1027-nucleotide long non-coding RNA. RefSeq lists it as uncharacterized. The transcript is spliced from 2 exons. The record is from RefSeq and is a predicted model, not a curated record. Lineage: Eukaryota; Metazoa; Arthropoda; Insecta; Coleoptera; Tenebrionidae.